CUCGGCAACGGAUAUCUCGGCUCUCGCAUCGAUGAAGAACGUAGCGAAAUGCGAUACUUGGUGUGAAUUGCAGAAUCCCGUGAACCAUCGAGUCUUUGAACGCAAGUUGCGCCCGAAGCCUUCGGGCCGAGGGCACGCCUGCCUGGGCGUCACGCAUCGCGUCGCCCCCCCAAUCCGCUC
Molecule: ribosomal RNA, 180 nt
Filed under: Hygrophila ringens
Lineage: Eukaryota; Viridiplantae; Streptophyta; Magnoliopsida; Lamiales; Acanthaceae
Description: 5.8S ribosomal RNA
Rfam family: 5.8S ribosomal RNA (bases 1-152)
About the family: 5.8S ribosomal RNA (5.8S rRNA) is a component of the large subunit of the eukaryotic ribosome. It is transcribed by RNA polymerase I as part of the 45S precursor that also contains 18S and 28S rRNA. Functionally, it is thought that 5.8S rRNA may be involved in ribosome translocation.
Source: RNAcentral